GGCUUCCUACGGGACGCAGCAGUGGGGAAUAUUGCACAAUGGGGGAAACCCUGAUGCAGCAACGCCGCGUGAGUGAAGAAGUCAUUCGGUAUGUAAAGCCCUAUCGGCAGGGAAGAAUUUAGACGGUACCUGACUAAGAAGCCCCGGCUAACUACGUGCCAGCAGCCGCGGUAAUACGUAGGGGGCAAGCGUUAUCCGGAUUCACUGGGUGUAAAGGGAGCGUAGACGGCCAUGCAAGCCUGGAGUGAAAGCCCGGGGCCCAACCCCGGGACUGCUCUGGGAACUG
RNAcentral lists this ribosomal RNA (286 nucleotides) under uncultured bacterium. RNAcentral's name for it is "partial 16S ribosomal RNA". It matches the Rfam family "Bacterial small subunit ribosomal RNA", at positions 333 to 635 of the family's 1533-position model. The record is from RNAcentral.